UACAGAGGUCUCAAGCGUUGUUCGGAUUCAUUGGGCGUAAAGGGUGUGUAGGUGGCGCGCUAAGUCGGGUGUGAAAUUUCGGAGCUUAACUCCGAAACUGCAUUCGAUACUGGCGUGCUUGAGGACUGGAGAGGAGACUGGAAUUCAUGGUGUAGCAGUGAAAUGCGUAGAGAUCGGGAGGAACACCCGUGGCGAAGGCGGCCAUCUGGACCAGCACUGACGCUGAGGCACGAAAGCGUGGGGAGCAAACAGG
RNAcentral lists this ribosomal RNA (253 nucleotides) under uncultured bacterium. Its description in RNAcentral is "partial 16S ribosomal RNA". It matches the Rfam family "Bacterial small subunit ribosomal RNA", at positions 524 to 776 of the family's 1533-position model. The record is from RNAcentral.